CGUAACGCGUAUGCAAUCUACCUCUUACUGAGGGAUAGCCCAUGGAAACGUGGAUUAAUACCUCAUAGUAUUAUAGACUGGCCUCAGUUUAUGAUUAAAGGUUACGGUAAGAGAUGAGCAUGCGUCCUAUUAGCUAGAUGGUAAGGUAACGGCUUACCAUGGCUACGAUAGGUAGGGGUCCUGAGAGGGAGAUCCCCCACACUGGUACUGAGACACGGACCAGACUCCUACGGGAGGCAGCAGUGAGGAAUAUUGGACAAUGGGCGAGAGCCUGAUCCAGCCAUGCCGCGUGCAGGAAGACGGCCCUAUGGGUUGUAAACUGCUUUUACAGAGGAAGAACCCUCCUUACGUGUAAGGAGCUGACGGUACUCUAUGAAUAAGGAUCGGCUAACUCCGUGCCAGCAGCCGCGGUAAUACGGAGGAUCCAAGCGUUAUCCGGAAUCAUUGGGUUUAAAGGGUCCGUAGGCGGGUCUAUAAGUCAGUGGUGAAAGUCUGCAGCUUAACUGUAGAACUGCCAUUGAUACUGUAGACCUUGAAUUAGUAUGAAGUGGUUAGAAUGUGUAGUGUAGCGGUGAAAUGCAUAGAUAUUACACAGAAUACCGAUUGCGAAAGGCAGAUCACUAAUACUAUAUUGACGCUGAUGGACGAAAGCGUAGGUAGCGAACAGGAUUAGAUACCCUGGUAGUCUACGCCCGUAAA
RNAcentral lists this ribosomal RNA (699 nucleotides) under Sufflavibacter maritimus. RNAcentral describes it as "bacterial SSU rRNA". It matches the Rfam family "Bacterial small subunit ribosomal RNA", at positions 109 to 806 of the family's 1533-position model. Lineage: Bacteria; Pseudomonadati; Bacteroidota; Flavobacteriia; Flavobacteriales; Flavobacteriaceae. The record is from RNAcentral.